CUUGGCAGAGAACAAAAACAAAUGCUGGGGAUGAAGAAGUAUGCUGUGUGGAAAUAAAAGAAAGAAAAGAUUCCUGAUGGCCACAAAUUGGUUAGCACCCCUUCUUACCAUCACAGAAGACCCGAGGAUGAUGCCUGUGCUACAGAGGCUGGAGUACUGAUGCAGUUAACAGUGCCAUGCAAAGAUACAAUCAUAAUCAGUGAGCAAGGUGACCCUUUCAUUUACUUUGGCUGUCAGAAAACUAAACUUCUUGUUCAAGUUGUCUCUCUGUUGUUAGUGGAGGCAUAACAGCACUGUGGUGGAUGGGAUAAAGGGCCUGUUUUCAACAGCCCGCUGCCUCCAAAAGAAGGCUGUAUUAGCCCAGAUGGUCAGCUUAAGGCAGUCUGUAUAGCCAGUCUCCUCUUCUGUACAGGCUGAGCUUUAGCGAUCAAAACCAUAAGUGAUCAGGGAUCCUUAGACGUGCUCAGAGGCUGAGGGCCUUCAGUUCAGUGACUGUCUGUGUUUGUCCAUGAAGUCUAUGAGUCAGUAGCAGCGAUGACCAUGAUGGUUACAGACUUGGGUUUGUGUGGAUGUGCCAAAACAUUGUGUCUUGGUCAAAAGUCAUCACUUCAGUGAAACUGAAGUAGCUUGUCAUUUUUUUUCUGGCAAAUGGCAGACGAAGCCAUGUGGAACAGAUUGAGUGUUGAGCUCCUUGUUAGCACAGAAUUAUGCUCUUGCUACUGCCUACCUCUUUCUGUGAGCAUGGAUAUCUAGAUUCAAGGAUAUGCUACCCUGUCAAGCUUCAUGACAUCCUCUUCAUUAGUGUUGUAUUACACUGAGUACUGGCUAUUACUUGCCUCCAAUUUUUGUUCUCUCAGGAAGAUCUAGCCCCUGGGCCCCAAAGCCCCUCAGGCUCACAGUUACUUUAUGCCUUGCUAAUGAACUUAUUCAAGCAAAGCAGUGACAAUCCCUAAGUGAAAGCAGUUUUACUUGCACUGCUAGACUGCAGAACUAAGCUAAAACCAAUCGGAUUAAACUACUUUUAAUAUAUCUAUUCAGGGCUGAGCAACAGUUCAAGUACACAAAUCCAGCACUGAUUUCAACAGCAUUUGAUAAAGAGCUUUUACAUUCUGAUUAAUUUCUUGCGACUGUGAAAAUUGUUCAGAGAUCAAAUAAACGAAGUUUGCUAUGUCUGUU
This is a long non-coding RNA of Pezoporus occidentalis (night parrot), 1176 nucleotides long. RefSeq lists it as uncharacterized. NCBI's taxonomy places the organism in Eukaryota, Metazoa, Chordata, Aves, Psittaciformes, Psittacidae. The transcript has 2 exons. The record is from RefSeq and is a predicted model, not a curated record.